RNAcentral lists this ribosomal RNA (462 nucleotides) under uncultured bacterium. RNAcentral's name for it is "bacterial SSU rRNA". It matches the Rfam family "Bacterial small subunit ribosomal RNA", at positions 28 to 507 of the family's 1533-position model. The record is from RNAcentral.
GAUGAACGCUGGCGGCGUGCCUAAUACAUGCAAGUCGAACGGAGCUAAACAGCAAUGGAUAGCUUAGUGGCGAACGGGUGAGAAACGCGUUGGUGACCUGCCCUAAAGCGGGGGAUAACAGAUCGAAAGGUUUGCUAAUACCGCGUAAUGUGAUCGAGGUUAGGUGCUUGAUCAAGGAAGCUGAGAAGCGCUUUAGGAGGGACCUGCGUCCCAUCAGCUAGUUGGUGAGGUAGAGGCUCACCAAGGCGAUGACGGGUAGGGGACCUGAGAGGGUGACCCCCCACAAUGGAACUGAAACACGGUCCAUACACCUACGGGUGGCAGCAGUAGGGGAUAUUGGGAAUGGGCGGAAGCCUGACCCAGCAACGCCGCGUGAACGAUGAAGGCCUUCGGGUUGUAAAGUUCUUUUGACUGGGAAGAGAGAGGACGGUACCAGUCGAAUAAGUCUCGGCUAACUACGUG